RNAcentral lists this ribosomal RNA (394 nucleotides) under uncultured bacterium. Its description in RNAcentral is "partial 16S ribosomal RNA". It matches the Rfam family "Bacterial small subunit ribosomal RNA", at positions 523 to 918 of the family's 1533-position model. The record is from RNAcentral.
AUACGUAGGGAGCGAGCGUUGUCCGGAAUUACUGGGCGUAAAGGGCGCGUAGGCGGCGCUUCAAGUCGUCUGUCAAAUGUGAGGGCUUAACCCUUUUUCGCAGACGAAACUGGAGAGCUUGAGAAGCAGAGAGGCAAACAGAAUUCCUGGUGUAGCGGUGAAAUGCGUAGAUAUCAGGAAGAAUACCAGUGGCGAAGGCGGUUUGCUGGCUGCAUACUGACGCUGAAGCGCGAAAGCCAGGGGAGCAAACGGGAUUAGAUACCCCGGUAGUCCUGGCAGUAAACGAUGUAUGCUGGGUGUGAGACUAGCGAUAGUUUCGUGCCGAAGUUAACGCGAUAAGCAUACCGCCUGGGGAGUACGGUCGCAAGAUUGAAACUCAAAUGAAUUGACGGGG